Molecule: transfer RNA, 71 nt
Filed under: Lamprotula tortuosa
Lineage: Eukaryota; Metazoa; Mollusca; Bivalvia; Unionida; Unionidae
Description: tRNA-Asn
Source: RNAcentral
AGGGUACAAAGCUUAUUAAAGCAGCUAACUGUUAAUUAGAAGAUUGCGAAUUAAUUUUAUCGCUUACCCUA